UGGUUUUUACCUUCCUUUUCGGUAUAUUAAACCAUUUGGUAUCCGAAUACCAUAUUGGACCCGACUAAUCUAAAUUCGAGCCAGGUAGGACCCCUAAGGCGGCAAAGCUCUCUCAAUAAGUAUUUAACGCAGCUGCAUUCCCAAGUCUCAAAUCGAGAACUUUAGUUAAGAUAGAACAACACCAUACCAGCUAAUCUACGCGCUUGUUGGUAGUUUUUACCUUCCUUUAAUAACAUGCAAACUCUAAAUUCUUUCUUCGGAUUCCAGUUAUUCCAUCACUCUAUAUAACUUGUAUUAGUAUUACAUAGUUAAUUCUCUUUUUGAGGCUGUGAUUUUGGGCAUUUCCAUGUGGAAUUUUAGUGGCAGAAAUUGCCGUAAUUAUAGGAGCUGUAGACGGUGCCAUAAAUUAACUUGGGUGAAAACACAUAAAAAAUUAACGGAACAUAUCAUCAAUCCUUCUUAGAUCCUUUAUUUCUUAUGACUGAAAUACGUGCACAUUUAAAUUAAAAUGUACCUCAUCAUAGUGGGGCAAGAUGUGAAAGAAAAUCUAUGCAUAUGCAAGUUGGGUACAGAUUGAAGCUUUGUUUAAAGUGGAUUAUCAUUACUGCUGGGUCUCCGGAUGCCUAGUGGUAACUCACGCCCUCAAAAUGUUUGAGCGCAUAAGUUGAAGCCUCACAGGGGCAAGAGUCCCAUUUUAAUCCCAUAUCCAAAAAAUAUAGAUAUUAGGGGCAGAUUUCUCCCUAGUUAUUUGUAAUAGAUUUUAAAUUGUAAUAUAUCCCUAGAAUUACAACAAGUUGAAACGUGGGUUACCAUUCGAUAUAUCAAAAAUAAUUGGGAAAAUCAGAAGCCUCUCUGCUUAUGUGCUGUAUACAUGAAUGUGGGGACAAAGGCUUCAAUUGAUUGUUCUUUUUUUUCCCCCGUCAUGUAGAAUGUUGCUUUUUCACUUUCGUAAAUAGUGCUAGGCACGGAUUUUCCUCUUGAAUUUCCGCUUAGAUUAUUCUCCUAGAAAAUAAAAGAAACCAAUCCAGUUGUUGUGUCUCAAUGAGAAUAUAACUUUUAUUUGUCAAUAGAGGCUGUGUAAUUAUAGACAAUUAUGAUCUUGCUGUAUAAUUAGACACCAUUAUUUGACAUAAUAACUUACGGCGAAAUUCCGUGGAAUCCAAAUGGGUGCGCAUGUUUAUCUUUUCAUUAUUUUGAUAACUCUAACAGCUAUUCAACUGUUUUAAUUAAUCUCAUUCAAACUCUCUGUAAUUUCAUGAUUUCAUAAGAAGUUGAGCUUUACCGGCUCCAAAAGCUUCCACAAUCAGCCUCAAUCUAGCUGUAAUUAGUAAGUAAUAAAAGAAGAAUUAGAUAGCCUUCAAUAUAUUAUCAUGAAGGUAGCCUUGAAUAUAUUAUCAUGAAGGUCGCAUUUCUGUAUCAAUUGAUGUUAGCAUCAUUAAUUUUUCUAGUGCAUGCACACGUCCAUACAUUGUAAAAUCUUAAAUUUGACUCUAUGCAACUUUAUUUAAUAGUUAUAGAUUAUUCUUUAGUAUUUAUACACUAUUUUCAUGGGGUCACGAAUUCUUAUAUAGUAAGACAUAUAAUGAAUAUGAUAAAAAUUUGUUAAGCGUAACGAAAGACUUUUGGUGAUGUAAGAUCGAGUCAUAAGAACUAAGAAUAAUAAUAAGAAAAAUUCUUUAAAAGACAAUUGUUGAAUUUAUGAAAACCCAUAUAUCAUCAAACAGACGCAUCCACUAGCAACAAAUGAUUAAUUUAAUCAUGCAUGCUGUUUAACACUGCAAUGGUACUGUAAUUAAAUUAAUCACAUAAUCUACUCCCAGAUAUGAUAUUUAUUCUACUAAUUAAUGUGGGGUUAUUAUGAUCUCUAGCAAGGGUCAAUAUCUAACCAUAGGCUACUACAUAAAAGUAAAUAUAAUAAAAUGAUUGAUUGGAGUGAGACAUAUGGGUUAUUUGCAACUAUAGCUAGUAUAAUAUUGUGCAAAUAUUAAGAUGUGUGGGGACUAAUUGGAUUAUCACGCUAUCAGAAAAAAAUGAUGCAAAACGAGAAAACAUGUGUAAUUUUUUUUAUGAAAAGUUAUUUGAAAACAAUAGCUCCAUGUUUCUUUCUUUCUCAAAUAAAGUGGGAACAAAGAUAUGAGAUCGUAUGGGAAGAGGGGCCACAGCUGACAGACGGAGAAUUUUUGUCCCCAUUCUUCUUUUAUUAUUUUUUUUUCUUUUCUCUCUCCCACUAAACCCUCAAAAUGUACAUACAUGUAACAUAUCCACUUUGGAUAUAAGAAUUAUGUGAUCAACCAACCACAACAUGAAACGAAACCCCAAAAAGACAAACCCUAGAUCUAACAAUUGCUAGAGAGAGAAUAAUCAACAGUCACAAAUUAACAAUAAUUUAAGAAGAGAAUGAAAGAAAGACAAACACAAACUCUUUGAUCCUUUUUAGUUUUGAAAUUAUUAAAUGUGUUUUUGGUAUAAAGAAACGUAAAACAUAAAGGUGGCGAGGGUAUAGAGAAGACAUAAGAUCAUUUUCACGAUUCAUUUUCUUGCACAUUAUACACUCUCCUAUGCAUUUGGCUUCAAUCCCCACCAACAACACUCCCAAAUUUAUUUUUCUUUUUUGGGGAAAAUGAUAAAUAUAAUAAUAAAGAAAAAGCGUUUGUUUUCAAUUAAUUAUCUUCAGUGAUAUUGAUAUUGGUAAUGGUAAAUGAUAGCCCAUGUGAUUAUGGGGACCCCGUGAAUCGCAACCGAAAGCAGGUGGUAGUGGUGGCGGCGGUGGCGGUGGACCCGGCAAUGACAGAUGCCACUGAGCUAUAAGCUUUACUCCCCUCAUCUUCUAAGCCUCCGGGUCUAUGUAUCUCGUGACCUUAGCGGCAGCCCGCAGGGUCUCAUUAUUACUUUCCAUAAAUUUACUUCCACUCCUUUAUUUCAGUAAUAAUUUAGCCGCUGAGUAGUUUGCUUGUAGAUUAUGGGUGCGUUUGGGAUUGAGGUUGGGCAGCUGUAGUUUAAAAGUUACAAUAUUAAAGUAUUUAGUAAACACUAGCUGCUGUAGCUUUUAAGCUAUGUUGAUAUGAUUUUUCACUUGUAUAAUAUAAAAUUUAUUAUAUCUUUAAUAAUUGUAUCAAAAUUAUUAUUUAAAAUUUAUAUUUACUAUAUAUUAUUAAUUUUUAUUUCAUAAUUAUAGUUUUUUUUUCACAACAACUGUAGCUUAAAAGGUACAGCACCUCAAUCCCAAACGCACCCUAUAAUUUCUAACACUAUAGUGUUGCACUAGUUGUAUGCUCGGCUCAUCCGGCCGGUCACUCGUGAGUGUGUUUUGUGUUCAUUGAUAUAACAUUAUUCGACUAAUUCACCCUCGUCAAAUAUAAGUUAUACUUGAUUAUAACUUCUCUUUUCUCUACAAAGGAGUAAGAUAGAUUUGUAAUAUUUGGGAAUUAAUUAAUAGUCAAAUGAUAAAUUACUAUUCUUUCGACAUUUGUAAGGGAUUUAAAUACGACAUGUACAGCGUAUGGAAAUAUUUUUUCAAAUUUUUUUUUUUAAAAUAAGAUUGACCCAUACUUACCCAAAUAUUAUUAUUCGAUAUUAAGAUUAUUUGUGCGUAUUACGCAUAUAAAUGAUUUAUUGAAGACUCUUGUAAAAAAUUAUACAAAAGAAGUGCGGCUAGACGAUAAUACUAACAUGACUGAAAUAAAAUGCCAAACUAAUUAAACUAAAUUACCCCUUUAACAAUAUUGAAAAGGGCAAAAGGAUGAAAAGAAAGAUCUUUAACACAGAGACGUGUUUAUUGGUUAUUACUUAUUACUCCUCACGCAUGCAUGUGAAUCUUAUAAAUAUGACAUUUAUGGCAUAUACCAAGCAAUUCUUUCAUGAGUUAAUAAAUAAUCUAUAAUAUCUCAGUUUAAAUUAUUAAAUGGAAUCUGAGAAUAGUAAUUAUUUGGAGAGAAUUAACUUAUACGGAUACCCACUUGCUCUUUCCAAAACCCAAUUCAUUUAAUUCGAAAUACGUGUUGAUUCUGACACAAAAGAAAAAAAAAAGAAAUAAGACACGUGUGAACAAACAAUUGCUUCUCAUGCUGGCAUCACCCACACGUGUAGAGAAACAGGCGCUGCUUUCCAAAUCAAUCAAAUGCCCAGCAUAUUACUAGACUAGAUAGUAGGCCGAUCAAGUUCGUGGGGCCCAAAUCAGCCAGCGUGCCUAGUUUUUUGAGAUGGAAUACUGAAACCCACGCGCUUUGUUAUAGCGUGCAUUAUUUUAUCAUUGGUCUAAUCAGGGGUAGACAAGAUGACGUGCCGUGCGCAUGACAUACGGAUACGACGCCAUACAUGCAUGGAUGUAAACGUAUCAUGGCCAUGCAAUGGUAUGUGUUCCAAAUACAAUCCGUACAUAGAACGCGUGGAGCACUCAUGUUGCCAAUUAUUUUUUCUACGAAUUUAUUUUUAUUUUAUUUUUAAAGCUGGCAAGAAAGAAGCAAAACUCCAUAAAAGCAAUCUCCAGGUCAGAUUCUGCUUGGAAAAUUCUAGGAACACAACACCACCAACACCAACACCAACACCAACACCAACACCAGCUACAACAACAAUAAUAAUAAGAAGAAUAGUGCUGCACAUUUUAAUUUUUUAUCUUAAAAAUUUAUCU
RNAcentral lists this long non-coding RNA (4627 nucleotides) under Citrus x clementina. RNAcentral describes it as "Citrus clementina (C. clementina) long non-coding RNA (CCLE_LNC001966)". Lineage: Eukaryota; Viridiplantae; Streptophyta; Magnoliopsida; Sapindales; Rutaceae. The record is from RNAcentral.